RNAcentral lists this ribosomal RNA (332 nucleotides) under uncultured bacterium. RNAcentral's name for it is "bacterial SSU rRNA". It matches the Rfam family "Bacterial small subunit ribosomal RNA", at positions 568 to 898 of the family's 1533-position model. The record is from RNAcentral.
CGUGUAGGCGGAUCGGUGUGUCGGAUGUGAAAUCCCUGGGCUCAACCCAGGAACUGCAUUUGAAACUGCCGGUCUCGAGUGGUGGAGAGGGAAGUGGAAUUCCUGGUGUAGAGGUGAAAUUCGUAGAUAUCAGGAGGAACACCAGUGGCGAAGGCGGCUUCCUGGACACCAACUGACGCUGAGACGCGAAAGCGUGGGGAGCAAACAGGAUUAGAUACCCUGGUAGUCCACGCUGUAAACGAUGGGCACUAGGUGUCGCGGGUUUUGACCCCCGCGGUGCCGUAGCAAACGCGUUAAGUGCCCCGCCUGGGGAGUACGGCCGCAAGGCUAAA